UUCCGCAUGGACGAAGUCUGACGGAGCAACGCCGCGUGAGUGAAGAAGGUUUUCGGAUCGUAAAACUCUGUUGUUAGGGAAGAACAAGUGCCGUUCGAAUAGGGCGGCGCCUUGACGGUACCUAACCAGAAAGCCACGGCUAACUACGUGCCAGCAGCCGCGGUAAUACGUAGGUGGCAAGCGUUGUCCGGAAUUAUUGGGCGUAAAGCGCGCGCAGGUGGUUUCUUAAGUCUGAUGUGAAAGCCCACGGCUCAACCGUGGAGGGUCAUUGGAAACUGGGGAACUUGAGUGCAGAAGAGGAAAGUGGAAUUCCAAGUGUAGCGGUGAAAUGCGUAGAUAUUUGGAGGAACACCAGUGGCGAAGGCGACUUUCUGGUCUGUAACUGACACUGAGGCGCGAAAGCGUGGGGAGCAAACAGGAUUAGAUACCCUGGUAGUCCACGCCGUAAACGAUGAGUGCUAAGUGUUAGAGGGUUUCCGCCCUUUAGUGCUGCAGCUAACGCAUUAAGCACUCCGCCUGGGGAGUACGGUCGCAAGACUGAAACUCAAAGGAAUUGACGGGGGCCCGCACAAGCGGUGGAGCAUGUGGUUUAAUUCGAAGCAACGCGAAGAACCUUACCAGGUCUUGACAUCCUCUGACAACCCUAGAGAUAGGGCUUUCCCCUUCGGGGGACAGAGUGACAGGUGGUGCAUGGUUGUCGUCAGCUCGUGUCGUGAGAUGUUGGGUUAAGUCCCGCAACGAGCGCAACCCUUGAUCUUAGUUGCCAGCAUUCAGUUGGGCACUCUAAGAUGACUGCCGGUGACAAACCGGAGGAAGGUGGGGAUGACGUCAAAUCAUCAUGCCCCUUAUGACCUGGGCUACACACGUGCUACAAUGGACGGUACAAAGGGCUGCAAGACCGCGAGGUUUAGCCAAUCCCAUAAAACCGUUCUCAGUUCGGAUUGUAGGCUGCAACUCGCCUACAUGAAGCUGGAUCGCUAGUAAUCGCGGAUCAGCAUGCCGCGUGAAUACGUUCCCGGGCCUUGUACACACGCCCGUCACACCACGAGAGUUUGUACACCCGAAGUCGUGAG
RNAcentral lists this ribosomal RNA (1073 nucleotides) under Bacillus sp. Z18-5. RNAcentral's name for it is "bacterial SSU rRNA". It matches the Rfam family "Bacterial small subunit ribosomal RNA", at positions 364 to 1433 of the family's 1533-position model. The record is from RNAcentral. Lineage: Bacteria; Bacillati; Bacillota; Bacilli; Caryophanales; Bacillaceae.